RNAcentral lists this transfer RNA (76 nucleotides) under Pseudomonadota bacterium. RNAcentral's name for it is "Proteobacteria bacterium (activated sludge metagenome) tRNA-Asn". It matches the Rfam family "tRNA". Rfam says of the family: Transfer RNA (tRNA) molecules are approximately 80 nucleotides in length. Their secondary structure includes four short double-helical elements and three loops (D, anti-codon, and T loops). Further hydrogen bonds mediate the characteristic L-shaped molecular structure. tRNAs have two regions of fundamental functional importance: the anti-codon, which is responsible for specific mRNA codon recognition, and the 3' end, to which the tRNAs corresponding amino acid is attached (by aminoacyl-tRNA synthetases). tRNAs cope with the degeneracy of the genetic code in two manners: having more than one tRNA (with a specific anti-codon) for a particular amino acid; and 'wobble' base-pairing, i.e. permitting non-standard base-pairing at the 3rd anti-codon position. Lineage: Bacteria; Pseudomonadati; Pseudomonadota. The record is from RNAcentral.
UCCGGCAUAGCUCAGUCGGUAGAGCAGGCGGCUGUUAACCGCCUGGUCGGGGGUUCGAGUCCCUCUGCCGGAGCCA